AACGAACGCUGGCGGCAUGCCUAACACAUGCAAGUCGAACGAGAUCUUCGGGUCUAGUGGCGCACGGGUGCGUAACGCGUGGGAAUCUGCCCUUUGGUUCGGAAUAACAGUUGGACACGACUGCUAAUACCGGAUGAUGACGAAAGUCCAAAGAUUUAUCGCCAGAGGAGGAGCCCGCGUAGGAUUAGCCAGUUGGUGAGGUACAGGCGCAUCAAGGCGACGAUCCUUAGCUGGUCUGAGAGGAUGAUCAGCCACACUGUGACUGAGACACGGCCGAGUCUGCUACGGGAGGCAGCAGUGGGCAAAAUCGGACAAAGGGCGAAAGCCUGAACGAGCAAUGCCGCGGGGGAGAUGAAGGCCUUAAGGUUGAAGAGGUCUUUUACCCGGGAGGAUAAUGGCAGUACCGGUGGAAUAAGCUCCGGCUAAGUACGUGCCAUCCUCCGCCAUAA
Molecule: ribosomal RNA, 449 nt
Filed under: uncultured bacterium
Lineage: Bacteria
Description: partial 16S ribosomal RNA
Rfam family: Bacterial small subunit ribosomal RNA
Source: RNAcentral